Molecule: non-coding RNA, 46 nt
Organism: Tauraco erythrolophus (red-crested turaco)
Lineage: Eukaryota; Metazoa; Chordata; Aves; Musophagiformes; Musophagidae
Source: Rfam
CCAAAGGCUCUUUUAAGAGCCGCCCAUUUAAUCUGUAAAAGAGCUG